CCAGACUCCUACGGGAGGCAGCAGUGAGGAAUAUUGGUCAAUGGUCGGGAGACUGAACCAGCCAAGCCGCGUGAGGGAUGAAGGUACAGAGUAUCGUAAACCUCUUUUGUCAGGGAACAAAGGCGGGGACGCGUCCCCGGAUGAGUGUACCUGAAGAAAAAGCAUCGGCUAACUCCGUGCCAGCAGCCGCGGUAAUACGGAGGAUGCGAGCGUUAUCCGGAUUUAUUGGGUUUAAAGGGUGCGUAGGCGGAGUGUCAAGUCAGCGGUAAAAUUUCGGGGCUCAACCCCGUCGUGCCGUUGAAACUGUCGGACUAGAGACGGCGAGAAGUACGCGGAAUGCGCGGUGUAGCGGUGAAAUGCAUAGAUAUCGCGCAGAACUCCGAUUGCGAAGGCAGCGUACCGGCGCCGGACUGACGCUGAGGCACGAAAGCGUGGGUAUCGAACAGGAUUAGAUACCCGCGUA
Molecule: ribosomal RNA, 463 nt
Filed under: uncultured bacterium
Lineage: Bacteria
Description: bacterial SSU rRNA
Rfam family: Bacterial small subunit ribosomal RNA
Source: RNAcentral